Molecule: long non-coding RNA, 229 nt
Filed under: Carica papaya (papaya)
Lineage: Eukaryota; Viridiplantae; Streptophyta; Magnoliopsida; Brassicales; Caricaceae
Description: long non-coding RNA (CPAP_LNC010438)
Source: RNAcentral
CCCUCUUUUGAGCUCACACUCUUUUUUUUUCACCACUCAAGCAAUCUUUUAUAACUUUAUACAAAUGGAUCAAUUCAAAUAACAAUUAAUUAUCACUAUGUACUCAAUUUUAAUUAGAGAUAAUAAAGAAUUACCAAAGAAAUAAGAUACAUGAAUUCAACUCUAGAAGCAAACUUGAACAAUCUAAACAAUGAAUAGCACACACUUGAUAUAGAAAUAAGUGUAUGAU